UACGGGGGGGGCAAGCGUUGUUCGGAAUUACUGGGCGUAAAGGGCUCGUAGGCGGCCAACUAAGUCAGACGUGAAAUCCCUCGGCUUAACCGGGGAACUGCAUCUGAUACUGGAUGGCUUGAGAUUGGGAGAGGGAUGCGGAAUUCCAGGUGUAGCGGUGAAAUGCGUAGAUAUCUGGAGGAACACCGGUGGCGAAGGCGGCAUCCUGGACCAACACGUGACGCUGACGGAGCGAAAAGCCAGGGGAGCAA
RNAcentral lists this ribosomal RNA (251 nucleotides) under uncultured bacterium. RNAcentral's name for it is "partial 16S ribosomal RNA". It matches the Rfam family "Bacterial small subunit ribosomal RNA", at positions 524 to 771 of the family's 1533-position model. The record is from RNAcentral.